ACCCUGGACAAGCUGUUCUUGGAGUCUCCGCCAGGCUUUUCCUAUGUAGCUGGAGUUGCAUUGCCUGUGUUCUGUGAUCCACUGGUGACACCUCUAACCUUGCGUGUGGAGAGUCUUGAUGGGGCUCCACGGGCCUUACCCCUUCGGCCAGUCUUAAACGGGUAUCAGCAAGAAGAAAAAUUAACAAAAGACAGAAGGCUUGACUUUGGGGGGGAAGAGCAAGGGGUUCCUCUGGAUUGCAGACCACAUCGCAUGGACCCCUGGCUCUGACCCCCAUCCUGGAAGAAGAGGAAGAAGCAGAACAGACUAGUUUUGAGUAAACUCAGUAUGCAUGUGUGGAUGCUGAACCCAGGAAUGGUGUUGAGGCUACCAAGAAGAAAUCCAUGCAGCCACUUUGGGUUUUGUUUAUUAGGUGUCAGUCUCUAACAAGUGGUUAGGUCACUCGGGAAGGAAAAAAAGUUUUAAAUGGGGGAAAAAAAAGCCAUCUUUUUAAGCAAAAAUUAUUUUGCCUACAGACAGGUUGUAGUUUUGAGCACAUGUUAAUUUUUUCCCCUCUUUCCCCACCUUUAUUUUUUUAGAUAAGGAAUAACAUACUCUUUAUAGAAUAGCUGCUUGCUCUGGAAGCAAUUCAGGUUAAAAGCUGGCGGGGCAUGUUUGGGGACUCUGCGGGUCAGUGCCAUUGGAGGACAUCUGCCGUCCCACAGGACUCCACAAGUCUCUGACCCCAUUUGUUUUUAAUGGCAUCAGCCAAUGAAUUAUCACCCUUUUCCUCUUCUUUUCUCUUUAAUCUUCUGUUGAUUUACACCUUUGGCAUUUGUAUUCGUCAGCCCUGUGGCUCGUUACCAUCAGAACCUCCCUGAAGACCAAACUUCCCUGUGUGGCCUGCAGAGGAAGCCGUUAGGACAGCUCUCGGGUGACGUGGGAGUUUCUGGGGCCGAGAGGUGUCCUUCUCCACACUCUUGUAACAGUUCAAAUUGCUCUCCUCCCAUGUUUCUCUUGGCAGAGAGAAAUGCCAUCGUGCUUACUGCUGUCUUGGAUUCUUUGUCUCCCCAUUCACUGGGAAGAGAGCCUCCGUGCUGCAUGUAUGCGUGUGUGCGUACACACGGGUGUUGAUGCAGCUCACCAGCAAAUGUGCAGCAAGCGAGUGUAAAGAUGUCCAUGCUUCCCUAUUGUCACACAGCUCCCUUCCCUGUGUUUCCUUCCACUUGUCCUUUGUGGUGUUAGUGGAGGCUGAGCUGUUAAAGUGUGAAAAUGGAGCCCCAGAUGGGGAACUUGCCAUGGGGAAGGGCCACAGUUAGCAACUCUGUGAUCUUGGAGGCCAUGUUUUGAUGGAAAUGAAAGGACUCCUGCCCUGAGCAGGAGGUGUAGUUGUUGGGAGGUGGGGGCAAGGAGCAGCCCAGCCAGAGCACAAGCUGAUUGGCUGGCUGCGCACUUGGACAGGUUGCCCCCUCUGGGAUCCUGUGGAUUCUGAGCAGGUGAGAUGUGGGUUUCUCCAUGGGAAGCUAAAACCAGGCUAGAACAGCUGUCUGCCAAAGAUAUGAGAUUAUGCAAAGUCCCUCUUCUCACCCCCUCCUUCUCUGAGUCUUGGUUGGUUUAAUAGCCAGGGAUAUGGUGCAGGGUCCCUGCCUGUUUCCAGCCCACCCCCGAGCCCUGGGGGUAUGAGACAAGCAGGGAGACCAGGUCCGCAAGCGGCUGCAAGGGGUCAUAUAGCCUGGGUGUGGGUGAGGGUCUGCCUGCCUGUGUCUGGGUGUCUGAGUUCCAAAAGUGUGUUGUUUGUUCCUCCUCAUCCUCUUCUGAGACUGUGGUUUUUAUUUUUUAAGCUUGAUUGUGAGAGAAAAGCUUGUACGAAAUUCCCCAUUUGCCUCCCCACCUCCCCAGAAAUAAAAGGGGAGUAAACAUUGGUCCUGGGGAGGGUGCAGCCAGCCUGCUGAGAGGGCAG
RNAcentral lists this long non-coding RNA (1939 nucleotides) under Sus scrofa (pig). RNAcentral's name for it is "lncRNA (ENSSSCG00040076219.1)". Lineage: Eukaryota; Metazoa; Chordata; Mammalia; Artiodactyla; Suidae. The record is from RNAcentral.